Molecule: ribosomal RNA, 566 nt
Filed under: uncultured bacterium
Lineage: Bacteria
Description: partial 16S ribosomal RNA
Rfam family: Bacterial small subunit ribosomal RNA
Source: RNAcentral
UGGGGAAUUUUGGACAAUGGGCGAAAGCCUGAUCCAGCAAUGCCGCGUGUGUGAAGAAGGCCUUCGGGUUGUAAAGCACUUUUGUCCGGAAAGAAAUCCUUGGCUCUAAUACAGUCGGGGGAUGACGGUACCGGAAGAAUAAGCACCGGCUAACUACGUGCCAGCAGCCGCGGUAAUACGUAGGGUGCAAGCGUUAAUCGGAAUUACUGGGCGUAAAGCGUGCGCAGGCGGUUUGCUAAGACCGAUGUGAAAUCCCCGGGCUCAACCUGGGAACUGCAUUGGUGACUGGCAGGCUAGAGUAUGGCAGAGGGGGGUUAGAAUUCCACGUGUAGCAGUGAAAUGCGUAGAGAUGUGGAGGAAUACCGAUGGCGAAGGCAGCCCCCUGGGCCAAUACUGACGCUCAUGCACGAAAGCGUGGGGAGCAAACAGGAUUAGAUACCCUGGUAGUCCACGCCCUAAACGAUGUCAACUAGUUGUUGGGGAUUCAUUUCCUUAGUAACGUAGCUAACGCGUGAAGUUGACCGCCUGGGGAGUACGGUCGCAAGAUUAAAACUUAAAGAAUUGAC